UACGUAGGUGGCAAGCGUUGUCCGGAUUUAUUGGGCUUAAAGGGUGCGUAGGCGGCCCUGUAAGUCAGUGGUGAAAUAUCCCAGCUUAACUGGGAGGGUGGCAUUGAUACUGCGGGGCUAGAGUACAGAUGAGGUAGGCGGAAUUGACGGUGUAGCGGUGAAAUGCUUAGAUAUCGUCAAGAACACCUAUAGCGAAGGCAGCUUACUAGGCUGUAACUGACGCUGAGGCACGAAAGUGUGGGGAUCAAACAGG
This 253-nucleotide ribosomal RNA is filed under the name uncultured bacterium. RNAcentral's name for it is "partial 16S ribosomal RNA". It matches the Rfam family "Bacterial small subunit ribosomal RNA", at positions 524 to 776 of the family's 1533-position model. The record is from RNAcentral.